GAUGAAGAACGUAGCGAAAUGCGAUAAGUAAUGUGAAUUGCAGAAUUCAGUGAAUCAUCGAAUCUUUGAACGCACAUUGCGCCCUCUGGUAUUCCGGGGGGCAUGCCUGUUCGAGCGUCAUUAUAACCACUCAAGCUCUCGCUUGGUAUUGGGGUUCGCGGUUUCGCGGCCCCUAAAAUCAGUGGCGGUGCCUGUCGGCUCUACGCGUAGUAAUACUUCUCGCGAUUGAGUUCGAUAGGUCUACUUGCCAGUAACCCCCAAUUUUUACAGCUUGACCUCGGAUCAGGUAGGGAUACCCGCUGAACUUAAGCAUAUCAAUAAGCGGAGGA
This 329-nucleotide unclassified non-coding RNA is filed under the name soil metagenome. RNAcentral's name for it is "partial contains 5.8S ribosomal RNA, internal transcribed spacer 2, and large subunit ribosomal RNA". The stretch from base 1 to 120 matches the Rfam family "5.8S ribosomal RNA", at positions 35 to 154 of the family's 154-position model. The record is from RNAcentral.